CCUGAACAGCCUUGUCUUCCCAAGGAUUCGGCCCCACUGCAGCCGUGGGGAGGCUGCCCCAGACACUGAGACCUGACGGCCGGACCGAGCGAGGGUGGGCCCAGGGUUCUCCUCGGGCUGCCCUGAGAGUCCCAGUCCUCCGGUUGGGGGGUCAAGCCCGCUGCCCAGUCGUGGCCGAAACUGCUCUGGCAGCCUCUUCCUGGGGCAGACAGGGGACCCUCCUGGAAAGGGCUGACCCCCCAACUCCAGCACUAAUCCCGGAUUCCCGCCUUUUCUGAUGCCGCUUCCUCUCAUCUCAAGGAUGCUCGGCGCCCCCCUGCCCGACCCCGGGCCUGGGUCAUCACAGGCCCUCGCUUGUGUGGAGAGCGGGGUCCUGGGCAGUGGCGGGAUGGAGGGGGCGGGCAUGAGGAGAUGUGGGGUCGCUCCUCCUGGAGGACUCGGAUUGGUGGAGUACCUCCUGUCCUGGCCACUUCCCCCAGGGAAGCUCACCACCAAAGUUCCCCAGGGGCACGGCCACAACCAUUUCCUCUCUGUGAGUCCCAGAGAGGGGAAGGAGGCUCCUCAUGCCGCGGACAAAGGCCUCCCUGCCCUCAGAGGUAGGCUACCCUGAUCCUCGGGCCCCAGAUCUGGGGUUGCCAUUUCCAGCUCUUCAAAUCUGUCUGUUGCUGAUUUGCUGUGAGACCUUGGGCAAGUCACUUCCCCUCUCUGGGCCUCGGAGUGUCACCAAUAGAAUGAAUGAUCCAAUUUGCCCACCCACUCGGACAUUCCAAAAUGGUGAAACAUUCAGAGCCAUGUGGUUUUGCAUAAUCAGAGCUGCAUUCCUUUAAUUUGACAAAAAUGCAAAUCAUCCUGAUAGAUGACUCAGUAGUCCUCAACCCCAGGCCUGUAAGCCCACAUCACAUUGACUGGGGAGGGAGGACCCACCCAGACCCACAGAAUCAGUCUCUCUGGGCCUCAGGGUGGGCAGGACCUGCAGAUUUGCAUUUAUAAGAGCCUGCCGGGGACAGGAGUUCAGACUGCAGAGGGCGGAGGGGAGGGAGAGCAGAGUCUUCCCACCCCGACGCCUGACAAAAUGAGUAACAGUGACAAAUGGCUUAUGAAAAGAAGGAGCCAACCGACCAGGAAGACAGUCUCCCCAGCAAUGGCCUCCUGGGCCCUCCGUCCUCACGCAUCCGGGGCUGCACUGGGCAUGGGAGCAGGACACACACCUGGCUGGACAGCAGGGCCCGGGCAGCAGGCUGGGGACAGGGCGGCAGGAAAGGGAAGAUCCCCUGGCACCUUGGAGCCGCCGAGACGCAGGCCGAAAACAGCACAACCCUGAGAAGGGUCCUGAGGGGAAGGCAGAGCGGUGCCCGAUGUUAGGAGUCAAACGUCUGCAGGAGUCGCUCCAGCGGACUGCGCAAGAUGAAAAGGACUUGCAAGGCUGCCUUGCGACCGCCAGGAAGGGGAAGGAAGUCACAUGAGGGCACAGCUGAAAGGGAAGAGGAUCUGAGGAUGGAAGGUGGCUUCCUUGAAACGGAUAGCUGCAGGCCAGGGGAAAGUUAAUGAGAACAUGAAUCAGCUUGAAAGAGAGCACAGAGGCGAGAUGAUUAAAAUAACAUCAGGAGGGGCAAAGAGCGUGCAGAGGGGAAGACGCACGCUGAGGACCCAGACAGGACCACUGCACUUCUGCGAACUGAGUUGCACACGUCUGAAGAGCGGAUUAAGAGCACAGAGAGAAACUCGAAAUAAUCACAAUGAAUUCAGAGAAAAAGGACAAAGUAACUCAAACAAUUAGAGAAAAGAUGAUCAUUCUGGAACCUAGACCUCCUGUAAGAGGAACCGGGGUCUCUGAAGUUGAUUAUCCAACAGCUAAUGCAGAAAAAAUAUUUGGAGAAGCUCUCCCCAAAAGGGAGGAAGAAGCAGCCAGCUGUACUUGUGAGAGGACCCAGGGGGGUUCCCGAGAUCAGCGUCAGGACAUGCUGAAUCCAGCUGAGUUACUGAACUUUGAAGGACAAACAAGACACUUCUUCAGACACCCAGGGGGAACAAAGCAAGUCACCAAGAGGAGAAAAAAAUCAGUCUGGCCUCAAAUUUUUCCGCGGCAACAUUCAAUACCAGAAGGAAAGGAAACUGAGUUGGGUGGAAAAGGGGAAACCAAGAACAUGACACCCGGUGAGGGAGUUCAGAUUUACAGACAACAUGGAAAGAGGCAGGGGAAUAGCACCCUCAGCCUUUUUUGAAAAAGAAAAUUACUCAGCAAUGAAACUAGCUAACCAUUGAAAGGGGCAAUGUUUUUUAAGGUAAAAUCAUGACUCUCAUACAAUAGAAAAUGAACACAUGUCAAAAACUUGGUUUAACUGAUUAAAUAAUUAGAGAACAAGAAAUAGGUUCCAAGUGGUUCCAGGGGAAAUUGGAACAACACACACGUAUAGACAGAUAAGGAAUAUGAGAUGAACUUACAUAUGCAUGCAAAGCCGAUCAAUACCCACAGGGCGACGAUCAAUUGCGGUCCACUGGAUGCAAUUCAUUUGCAUUCCAUGCAUAAGAAUCAUUUGCACUGCUGUCAUUUUUCUACAACUUAGAUUUGUGCAAAGGUGAUGAAAGGCACAGGUUCCUUAAUACAGGACACCAGUAGUCUUUUUGGCUUUUUUGGUCCAUUUCAAAAUCUUUCACAGUUUUUCCUGCUACAACCAAGAGAUGACUCCAAGUGCAAAACUCAGGGACAAAAUGUGCUUUAAAAAUGGAAUGGAAUCUGUUUGAAUACAAGACUAAAAUGAAAUACUGGGAGAAUUAUGGUUGUAGAACAGAUUGUAAGUAUUAUAAACCUUGACACAGUGAAAACAUCAGAAUCAAAAUCGGGAGCUGGGGGGCCGGCCCAGUGGUAUGGUGAUUAAGUUCACGCGCCCGAUCUGGUGGCCCAGAAUUUGCAGAUUCAGAUCCCGGGCACAGACCUACAUCCCGCACAUCAAGCCAUCCUGUGGCGGCAUCCCACAUCCAAAAAAAUAGAGGAAGACUGGCACAGAUGUUAGCUCAGGGCCAAUCUUCCUCAGGAAAAAAAAAAAAAAAAAUCAGGAGCUGGAGGCAGGGAGAGGUUGUGUAAGGGAACUGAUCACCUUUCUCAUUCCAAGGAAAUGACGGAGCCUGCCCAAAAUGAAACAUUGAUUCUUUUUCUCCAGGACUCCAAUCUUUAAUGAGUUUCAUAAUCUUUUUUCUUAACGUUAGAGAAAUUCGCUAUGAACUAAUAUCUCUGUGGAAAGUAAAGAUUUAUCUAAGACUUUCUGUGGAACUCAAGAAAAACUAAAUACUUUUAGUUUAAAAUAUAGCAGGUGUGGUACAAUCCCAUUUUUGAAAAUGAUUUGGACCUUUUGACCUUUCUGUCUCCCUUUGCCUCUUUCUCUCCAAGGGCCUCUGUGUGCAGAGGCCAUUCACCAAAUGUUACCACUCGCCGGUAGGCUGCAUUAAGCGUCUUCGCCUCUGUACCAGAAGUUCUUUGCACACAUCUAGCGGCAUUCUUCUGAACAGCCGGAGUGCAGAACCACUUCAUUUUAAGCUGUGUGAGUCAUUGACACUUUAGUGUAAAUAAGGUUUUCAGGAAGACAGUGUGAAGACCUGGAGUUUCUGCAGGUCCCGACCUGGGCAGCUGAAUCCUGGGAAGAGCUGAAGAGGGCAGCUGGUCCCGAGGUCCUCAGCCCCUCUUGGCUGAAAGAACCGUUGAGCUUGUCAAGCAAGCCCCUCUUCCCACAGGUCCCUGUCCUGGAAUUCUAAGCCUGUGAGACAGAUGCCUAUUCUAGCUGGUACUGGACCCAGAAGCUGGGGGCCUGGCCCAGCCUUGAUAAGUGUCUGGGACAGGGUUCUCCUCCCUGCAGCAUUGUGGGGGCUCCUGAGCUCCAUCUGACCCACUGCCCUCAUAUCCAAUGCCCACCUCUUGAUCAGAACCCUGACUCCUGCCCUCCUCCAUUUGCACCCUUGCUCUAGCCACAUUGGCCUAACUUCCCCUUUCCCACACCACGGGGCCUUUGCACAUGCUUUAUCCUCCACGAGAAUCCCUUCCCACCCACCUUCCCUCACCCCCAGAUCCCCAGGCUCCUCCUCUGGAAGCCGUCCCUGACAUACCUCCCAACCCCAGAGGUCAGGCCUCUGCCCCCACUGUGAGCCCCCCAUGGGCCAGCCUGGCUCUGCUCAUCCCUGUGGCCCAGUGCCCAGCCAGGGCCUGGCGUUGGGGAGGCAGAAAGGCAAGUGGAUGACUGGGCCUUGACCUCAUCACCAGCUGGUGACCUCAGCCAGAUCCCUUGUUCUCACUGACUGUUUCCUCAUCUGAAAAAUAGAGACAGGGGAAGUCCUCCUCAUGGAGGCCUCAAGAGGAAUAAAGAAGAUAAUGCGUAUUUUUAUUUUAAGGUUUGUUAAACGCAUGACUAUGAGAUGUGAGCUUAAAGGAGGAGGGAGGAAGUGAAAGGAGGAACCAGCCCCGCCUCCAGUCUGCACCCCCUGGUUCCCACCGGGUAGCACCUCCAUCCCACCCACCGUCGCUGAACACCUACCCUGUGUCCCAGGUGCCAGGGGAUGCUGUGAGAUCCUCUCCGCUUGACCGCCACUAGGCAUCCCACGUCAGCCCACUUCUCUGCCACCUCCCGGGGCCAAGCUGCUCACCUCUUGCUUGCACAGAGCAGCGGCCACCAACUGGACUCCCGACCCUUUGACCUUGGCCUCUAAAAUCCAUUCUCCGACUCAUCAGAGUGACCUUGUCCCAGCAUCGUUCUGACUACACCAUUUCCUGUCUCCAAUCCUCCAUUGGGUCCUACCAAACGGCGAUACAGAUAAGCUCCAAGAAGAAAAACGACUUGCCACGUUGGCGACCAAGCUGAGAUGGUCACUGGGCCUGACCUGCAAUUCUGCGCCCUUUCUAUUGUCCCCUGUGCUCUGUUGCAUGCUCCCUGCCCAAUGGCCCCUCCUCACAAAGGCCUGGACUGGUGCAGCAGCCUCCUCGUCAGCCUCCUGGCCUCUCGUCCUCCACUCUGCCCACGACCUGAGAGACUUCUUAGGCAGACCUGUCGUCACGCAGCUCCCCGACUCAAAAGCAUCCCGCAGCUCCCCACAGCGCCCGAGUCUAAGUCCAGCCUCAUAGUGGGCUCCCAUUUGAGGGAUAAAACAGGUACUGGCCUCACAGAUUCUGUGGGCCAAGAAUUUGGACAGGGCGCAGAGGGGACGGCUUGUGUCUGCUUCACCACAUCUGGGGCCUCAGCUGGAAGACUCGCAAGCUAGGGGCUGGAAUCUUGAAGGCCCCUUUGCUCACAUCCCUUCACUCUUGUAGAUUCCCAAAAGAGAGGAGAAUUUAGAAGACUCCUGGAAUUCAUGGCCGCUGAAGCACAUCCUCCUGAAUUUAAGUUACAUAAGGAAAUCGACGACUGAAUGUGGUCAAAAGGAUAUUCUCAAAAGUUAUUGUUGACAACAAAGAUUUAUCCAGAGACACAGCUGAUCUGGUUCUCUGAAUAGGAUGGUUGAUGCUGGUGGAUUGAUCAGCAGAGAUCUUAGCUGGGCAUUGGCUGGAACAUCUCCAUGUGGCCCUGCCCUGUGUCCUGGGCUUCCUCACAGCGUGGUGGAUGGGUUCAGAGUCAAGAGGGAGGCCGAAGCCUUAUACCUUUUAUGACCGAGUCUUGAAGCCCCACAGCAUCACUUCUACCACAUUUUACUCAUCAAGGCAGCCGCUCACCUUCAAGGAGAGAGGAAAUGGACCCCACCUGCUGUGGGGGAGCAGCAAAGUUUUAGAAGACCAUGCGGGACUGGAAAUUUUCUGUGGCCACUUUUAAACAGAUAGACAUAGGAAAACAUUAGUAUUCAGAGCUGGGAUGAGUCGGGGAGGCAUCACGCAGGCCCUGAAGGGGAGCCUGUCAGGCCGUGGGCAGAGCAGAGGGGAGGCAGGGAGGCCAGUGAGGAGGCAACCGCACUAGUCCGGGUCUUUGUGAGGAGGGGCCAUCGGGCAGGGAGCAUGCAACAGAGGAGAAGAGACAAUAGAAAGGGCACAGAAUUGCAGGUGAGGCUCAGUGAUCGUCUCAGCAUGGUCACCAACGUGGUAAGUCGUUUUCCUCCUUGGAGCUUCUCUGUGUCACCUGUAAAAUGAGUCACACACACAAACGGAAGAGGUUUCUUAUUCACAGUGUGGACCCUUUGAGAAACUGGUGAAAGGAAUGAAUCCUCCACGCAGGGGAAGGAAGACGAACUCGGGCACAUCUGUAAAACCGGGCUGAAAGUUCCGGGGGUGCCCAGGACCAGCCUGGCUUGGUGGUGAAGGUUGGGGCUCUGGACCCGGAAUGUCUGGGUGUGAAUCCUGCCUCCACUCCUUACCAGGGAAGAGACCUUGGGUGAGGGACUCAACCUGUCCGUGCCUCUGUUUCCCCACCUGUAGCAGUUAGGGCUGCAUUUGGCUGCAGGUAACUGAGGACCUCAAUAUUCAGUGCCUUCGGCAAAAUGGCAGCUCGGUUUCUUUCUUGUGGAAAAGCCCAUAUGUGUGUGGUUGCUGAUGCUGGUUCAGGAGCUGGGUCCCUUCUCUUAGAAAAACCUCUUCACCCGGAGGACCUCCCUUAAUCUCAUUGCCCACAGUGGAGUCAUGGGACUAGCCCCCUGCGGGCAAGGAUGAGGAAUGGAGCUGUAGCUCAGUGGUUCUUAACCAGAGCCAGCAUCGCAGCUCCACGGGACACUUGGAGAUGUGCGAGGACAUUUCAGGACAUCACAAUGAUGGGGCAUGCAGUGGGAGGGGGCCACUCCAGUGCACGCAACAGUUUUCCAUGGAGAAUUGUCCCCCAAAAAAGGCCAAGCGUGUCCUCCAUUGAAAAACUCCUGGGGCUGGCCCCGUGGCCGAGUGCUUAAGUUCGCGCGCUCCGCUGCAGGCGGCCCAGUGUUUCGUCGGUUCGAAUCCUGGGCGCGGACAUGGCACUGCUCGUCAGACCACGCUGAGGCAGCGUCCCACAUGCCACAACUAGAGGAACGCACAACAAAG
This is a long non-coding RNA of Equus asinus (donkey), 6973 nucleotides long. Lineage: Eukaryota; Metazoa; Chordata; Mammalia; Perissodactyla; Equidae. The record is from Ensembl.